GUCACAAACAGCCAUGGAGACACCCAGAAGGUCACUGCACAAGACCUUUCAGCAUGACACGUGGGAUUCAGCUGGAUGAGCGGCAAGGCAGACUGUCAUGAAGCAGUCCAUGGAGAGAGGAAGAAGGAAUGUAUGUGUCCUGCUCCCUCUCAACUCCUAUUUUCCACUGGUCAAAGUUUUCCUAGUGGGGGUUAACUCUUCUGCACUUCAGGAUUGUAUCACCCAGUCCUAAUGGCAGCCUCUCAGGAGACCAGUUCCCACCCCAUGCUGGAGAGUGUUUUCAUCCAAAUCUGGAAGAGUGGCUGACUCUGAAUUUGUUAAAUAAAUGAACUAGCAAGUAAAACCUCCGAAAUCUCAACAUCUGCCCUGGGGGAAAAGCUUAUGCUUUGCAAGGUGCAAACAGACUGUUCGAUGAGAUUGGAAAACUAGAAGCUAUUAUGCAAGUUGGAGAAAUACCAGAAGAACCUUUUAAAUGGAAAACAGGGACCAAGAGAGAUUGUAUAGAGGAGAACGUGAGAGGAAGAAACACAGGAGUGGUUGUGGAUCUGUGAGGGGAUGAGGGAAACUGUCUUAGGAGAUCCAGUGAUAAAUCCAUAGCUCUCUGUUCUAAGCACA
This 615-nucleotide long non-coding RNA is filed under the name Homo sapiens (human). RNAcentral describes it as "HSALNT0361734". Lineage: Eukaryota; Metazoa; Chordata; Mammalia; Primates; Hominidae. The record is from RNAcentral.